CUCAGCUCUAAACUGGGUGUUUUGCAAACAGCAUGAGUUACUAUGUAUCCAGGUAGGUGGGGUCAGCACACAGCGUCUCCUUGUUUUCCUGUCUUGUAAUAAUUAACCCCUUCUCUUGGGGGACUCCAAGUAAUUGCCUUUCCUGUAAACAGUUGGUAAUUGCAACUGUGUGGUGGUGGCCUGAGAAAGUGGGAAUGCAGAGAAAACAGCAUUUCUGGUUUUGAGGACCUGCACGUGCAGAAGCAGGAGUGUGGCAUGUGCAGGUACACACAGGAACUGCAGAAUCAGGACAGUGCUUCCACUGCCUAGAACUUGGCCCUGGGCAAAACAGGUACCUGAUAGGGAGUUCUGGCCCCUGGGUUAAGGUGGGGUGAGACGCCCUCUGAACACCUCUAUUUGAAUCUUAAUCCACUCUGGGCCAAGGCUCCCAGAAACCCUAGUGCAUGUUCCCUGGGCUCCUGGCUGCCAGGCCUCCCACCUGAGGGAUGGGUGGUCCAAUGACUGGGGACCCACCCUGUUCCCAAACCUGCUUCUCCCCCGCUCUGUAGAGUAGUCUGGCAUCUUUCCUGCUAAGAGACAAAGACUUUGCUGCUCAGAAGUGAGACUAAAUUCCGGAACUCUGGAUAAUUGGGGAAGGCCCUGUAGUCUGCAAGUGACCUUGUUUUCUUUCCCCGACCCAUGUAAAAGCCAAUGAUUUUAUUCAACAAGUUUUCCCAUGCACUUUGUAUGUGUGUGUGUGUGUGUUUAUGUGUGUGUGUGUGUGACAGAGUCUUGUUAUGUAGUUCAGCUGAAUUUACUGGGCUUGAAUUUACUAUGCAGCCCAGGCUGGCCUUGAACUCAUGGCAGUCCUCCUGCCUCAGCCUCUUGAGUGCUGGGAUUAUAGGCGUGCGCCAUCAUGCCCUCCAUCCCCAUGUAUUUUUUUUUUUUUUUUUUUUUUGGUACUGGGGAUGGAACUUGGGAUCUUGUGCUUAUGAGGCAGGUGGCACCCCAUGUACUUUUGACCUCAUCCUGGUUUAGGGCAAGGAGCCUGCAUGCUGCUGCCCCUUGGAGCCAAGAGGAGAGGUGUAGGUAGGGUUUUAGGAGCAGGGUCGUCUCUACUUAACCAAAGUCAUGAACUGCCUCCAUGGUUGUGAAUUUGGUUCUCUCUCUUGUCCUCAAAGCAAAUGGCUUUGAGACAACCUUGGUUGAGGCUGACAUUUCCACUCGUCCAAGUUCGUUUUCACGCCGCACAGUUUGCUGUUUACUUCUCACCGUGGUAGAGCAUCCCACAUGAACACGGUUUUGAUAAGGGAGGCGAGGUGAGUCGCUGUCCUCUCACUGUUGAGGCAGGCUUGAACUUCUCCCUGUCACCCAUCAGAGGUUUUGCCUGAGACACCCCAGCCUCAUCAUGCACUUCCACAUUGUCUCAAAGACCCGCACAGCUACUGAACUGCUCUGUGACCUUGGGCAAGUCCCUUUUCUCUGGACUUCGCUGAACUGUCUCUGUGCAGAAGGUCCUAGACCCAUGUCCUUAUUGUCCUUGAAGAUCUGAGGUGCAGCACUGAGAGCCGACAUUCAUUAAUAACCCUUUUUUAUGAGGGGAGUGAGGGCUAGAGAAGUAAGAUGACUCGCCAUGUUGCCAGGCGCUGGCAGGGCUGGGAUGCCACCCAAGACACUUGACCCCAAGGUCCAAGCUCUGAACUGCUUCCUGUCCAUUCUUCAGUGAAGCCCCUGCCCAAAGACCCACCCAGUUGGAUGCCCUAGUCCUGAACCACAGCCUUCUCCAGUUCUUAUCAUCCUAAGAACAGAUGCCAACAGCAGAGAUGGCCAGAAGAGUUUUAAAAUUCCCUUUAUUCCUGGGUCUGAUUCUGGAAUUCUUUGCAUCUUGACCAGUUCUCAUGCAUGAACAGCUCAGAAAUCAGAGAAAGCAUCUUUAUUUCCAGACUUCUCCUUUAGUAGCCUGCUAACCAGCAUUCACAUUUUCCUCUUCCAGUGUAGGACUUGUACCCAGAAACUUUCCAUGUGAGGCAGCUGUCUCCAAGAAAAACAGAAAAAGUCCCAGUUGGGCUUAUGAAGAAUGAAAUCAGCCCCAAGCCCCCAUCUCUCAGAAAAGUUGUUAUUAAAUUCUGUGCCUGCCCCUGACCUGGAUUUAAAGAUUUGCAAGAAGACAAAUUCCAAACAGAUGCCCAUUAGGGCCCUGACAGCCGCAGCUUAAAGAUAACAUUUACAUUCUGCCGGGGUUUGUAUCUCUCUGUUCCCCACGAGGGCCCUCUCCCGCCUCUAGUGGGAUCAAUACCUUGGUCGAGGUUACGAGGAGGUGGCCCACAUUCUUUUAAGCUGUUUGCUCAGUGCUUGGUUUGUUCUGCUAACAUGCUGGGCACUUCUUCUAACAGCCCUGUUUGCCCAGUAUUAGGGCUGUUUGCUGAAACACCUAGCCCACUCCGAGGGGGCUCAGCUUUCUAAACAGUUGGUCCCUGGAUCUGUCAAUCAAUAACACCAAUUGGGUUCCCGAUAUGGACAGCAGUGUGGCCAAGUCCAAUAUUUGUCCACACACUGCCCUCUCCCCCUGCACCUGACUGUCCCCAGCUUGACAAGGAGGACAUUCAGCAAGCGCACAGGCUGCUGGGAAGAUACAAUGUUGGCAAGCAGGGAGCUGUUCCCGGAAGGGAGGGCACGUGAGCAAACAGGAUGGCCCCUUUAUUCGAGGUAAUUUACUGAAAUGCAUGACGAUUACCUGCUCACCCAGCCCUGGGGUAAUUAAAAGUGGCAGGCUCUGGGCUCUGGCUUCUCUGGCGCUGGCAGAGAAGGCUGGGUUUCUACUUGGGAUGCUUGCAGUUCGAGUGCAUGGAAUCAGUGUCUGGAAAGGACCAAAGAGAGCAAGAGAAAGGUUUCCUAAAAAAAAGAGGCUGAUGGUUAACGCAGUGUACAGUCUUUUUUUUGGCGGGGGGGAAGUGACGGUGUUCUGGAGCUUGAUAGAGGUGUUGGUUGUACAACACUGUGAACACACUAAAUGCCACUGAACCAUUCAUUUUGGGAUGGUUCAUUUUAUGUGAUGUGAAUUUCACCUAAAAGAAAAAAAAGGGUGAAUCCCAGGGAAGACAGGAUGUUUACACUUGAGAGGCCUAAUGCCUAACUCAGCAUUUGGCUCGAGUGCACGCUUAAUAAAUGUUUAUUGAAAGAACAACCUAACAUUUGCACGGUCAACAAAGCUCUUUGUUACACAUUAGCUCACUUUAUCCUUAAAGCACCCUCUGUGGUUGACAGGGGUAAGAGUUAGCAUUCUUAUGUUGUAAGGGGAAACUAAGGCUCAGAGAGCAGUGAGGCUUGUAUCAUAUACCACAGCCACCAGUAGAGAUGGUGCUGGGAUUCAAACCCAAAAGCUCUGGCUGUAAAGUUGGUGCAGUACUAGGGAUCGAACUCAGGACCUUGUACUUGCCAAGCAGGCGUAGCACCACUGAGCUGAAUUCCCAGCCCUGCACAUGCACUGUUGUUAAAGGACCCUCUCACACUGCUUCUUGGCCUUUCUGCUAAGAUCAAGUGUAAAAUAUCCUCUUUCUCACUGAGAACCUUACAGUGGCUUUACAUUGCCUUAGGAUAAAUAAACAUCAAUAGCAAAAAUUAUUGAGCAACCUUUUCACCUACUUUCAUCUCAUCCCACCCUUACGAUGCUGUCCUCCCUGCUCAUCAUCCGUGAAGUGGGAGCAGCAGUUCUUUCACAGGGUUAGGGCAAGCAUCCACUUAGUUGUAUCAGGCAACGUACUGAGGAAACAGCCUGCCCUUGGUAAAUUCUUACGGGAGUUUAGCUGCGGUUUGGAGAAGAUGCUGUUCUGCAAAUAGGAAAAGAGCAACAGGAGAGUUUAAGACACUCACUCAGGCAGCUGGGCAUGGUGACACAUUGUAAUCUCAGCAAUCUGGGAGGCUCACAAGUUGGAGCCCAACCUGGGCAAUUUAGUGACUUAGCAAGACCCUGUCUCAAAAUAAAAAAUAAAAAAGGCUGUGGGAAUGUAUGUCAGUAUAUGCAGGCCUGGGUUCAAUCCCCAGUACCACAAGAGGAAGAACAAAAAGGAGGAGGAGGAAGAGAAAAAGGAGAAGAAAAAGGAGCAGGGGAAGAAGAGGGGGAGGAGGAAGAGGAAGAGACAGAAGAAGAGGAAGAGAAAAAAAGAAAGCAAAAACAAAAAGCAACCUGCCGUUUUUUUCUACAGCAGGAUUGGACCCAGUCCCAAUUCAGCCCUGGAGCCUCUUCCAUACCUGCCCUUGCCUCCACUCAGCAUGCACUGGGGCCCUCCUGCCUCUGCCCUUCCUAACAGUAACAUUCUAAAAUCCCUAUGGAAACACAAAAGACCCGGGGUAGCCAAAGCAAUCCUAAGCAAAAAGAGCAAGGUUGGGUACAGCGCAAUAUCUGAUUUAAAAUUUUACUACAGAUUAUACUAUAAAUUAUAGUAACAAAGUCAGCACGAUACUGGCACAAAAAUGGACUCACACACCAAUGAAAGAAUGGAGGAUGCAACCACAGCCAUCAAUUCCUGAUCAAAGGACCAAGAAUAUACUCCAGAGAAAAGAUGGCCUCUCUCACAAACAGUACCGGGAAAGCUGGGUAUCCACAUGUAGAAGACUGAAAUAGAUCCCUACCUCUUCCCAUGUAUAAAAAUCAAUUCAAACUGGGUCAAAGAUCUAGGUAUAGGUCCUGAAACUUUGAAACUUCUAGAAGAAAACAUAGGAGAAGCACUUGAAGCCAUAGAUACAAGCAAAGACUUCUCGAAUAGGACUCUAAUAGCACAAGGAAUAUGCAGCAAAAAUGAACAAAUGGGACUACAACAAAUUAAAAAUUUCUCCUUCCAAGGUGCCAAUAAGUACCAACAAGUAACAGAAUAAAAAGACAGCCUACAGAAUUGGAGAAAAUCUUUUCUGGCUAUUCCUCAGCAGAGGAUUCAUAUGUAGCAUAUAUAAAGAACUCAAAAAAUGUCACACCAAGCAAACAAAUAGCCCAACUAAUAAAUGAGCAAAUGAAUUAAACAGGCACUUCUCAAAAGAAGCACAGAUGGCCAGUUGUUAUAUGUAAAAGUGUUCAACAUUUUUAGACAUUAGAGAAAUGCAAAUCAAAACUAUAUUGAGAUUCUAUCUCAUCCCAGUCAGAAUGGCUAUCAUCAAGAAUACAAAAAGCAAACAAAGAAAAAACUCAACAAUGAAUACUGGUGAGGAAGUGGGGGAAAAGGAACACUUCUACACUGCUGGUGGAAAUGUAUAUCACUCUGGAAAUCAGUAUGAAGUUUCCUCACAAUAGUAAAAAUAAAACUACCAUAUGACCGAGCUAUACUUUGGUAUAUACCUGAAAGAAUUAAAGUCAACAUACUAUAGGGAGCCAGGGAUUUAGCUCAGUGGUUCCGCUGCCUGCCUUGAAAGCGCAAGGUCCCAAGUUCGAUCCCUGGUACCAAAAAAAUUUUUUUUAAAGUGAGCCUACUAUAGAGGUACCUGCACAUCCAUGUUUAUCAUGGCACAAUUCACAAUAGCCAAGAUAGGGAACCAGCCUAAGUGCCCAUCAACAUGUGAAUGGAUAAAGAAAAUGAGAUAUAUAUACACACAAUGAAAUAUCAUUCCACUAUAAAUCAGAACGAAAUUAUGUCACUUGCAAGAAAAUGGAUGGAACUUGAGAUGAUGUUGAAUGAAAUAAGACCAACUCAGAAAAACAAGUAUUUCAUGUUUUCCUUAAUAUCUGGAAUCUAAUAAAGAAGAUGGCAUGAAAGUAGAAGGAUGACUAUUAUUAGACAAGAGGAAGAGAAUAAGGG
Molecule: long non-coding RNA, 5762 nt
Filed under: Heterocephalus glaber (naked mole-rat)
Lineage: Eukaryota; Metazoa; Chordata; Mammalia; Rodentia; Bathyergidae
Description: lncRNA (ENSHGLG00100039385.1)
Source: RNAcentral